Molecule: long non-coding RNA, 1850 nt
Organism: Petromyzon marinus (sea lamprey)
Lineage: Eukaryota; Metazoa; Chordata; Hyperoartia; Petromyzontiformes; Petromyzontidae
Source: RefSeq, a predicted model, not a curated record
CGGAGCGUGGUUGGUGGGUCACGAGCACUGGAAUUUGGCAAAACCACUGGCUUCCAUGGACGCAUCUGUAGCCCGGCGUAAUUUUAACGCAUCUCAUUCCAAGUGAAUCGUAAUGAUUUUAUCGUCGGUAACUCUCUCGAUGAUCGCGCUUCUGCGGCAAAACGAGCGGCCGCCAGGGAUUUGUCCCCUGCGCUUCGUAUCGCGCAGCGGCUGCGACCGCCGCAUCGAAGCGUGACCCGUGCCGACCUCGCGCGCACGCUCUGCCUGCCCGUGCCGCUGAGGGCUCCUUGACCAUCCUUCGUCGUCGCAUUCUACUUUAGUAGCUCGCACAUUCUGCCCCUACUGCCCCCCCACCCCCACCACUAAAGUCUGAAAGUCUUUCCCUCCCACCACUCCUCCCCCAGCAAUCCAUGCUGUCGACUCCCUGACCCCCCCCCCCCAUCCACCCACCCGUGCCGGACCGCUCGCCCACACCUGUAAACGAGACUCCGUCACCCCAAUGUUGAAAUCCAUCCGCUGGCUCCAAAUCCAAUCCAGCAUCUUUUGCAAGAUCACGCUCAACGUCUUCAGUAGCUGAACUGGUUGCAUGAGUGGCGAGUGACAUCUGAGACGACGAGCAUGGUGAAGUAUGCUCAAACCUCGCCCUCCCCCCGCGACCGACACGGCGCUGGAGAGACCUUCAUCCAGCGGCGGACCUGCAAGGACUGGAAAGCCUAAUGGCCACGGAUGGAGCGAUGAGGACUCCUUCAGCGGACCACUCAUCACGCCCGAGCGGAACUGUCUCUACCCGCGAGGAUGGUCCUGCCGCACACACUCGUUCGUGACGCGGCACUUUUCGUUGAUUCGGACGGGUUGUUCUCGCCGUCACAUUUCCUUUGUUCUUGUUAUUGUUGUUCUUGCCUUCCAUGGUCACUGCUACGAUUGUGUUGUUGUUAGGGGUCGGUCACUGGUUACGAUUGUGUUGUUGUUAGGGAUCGGUCACUACACAUGCGCGCACGUUUGUAUAUAUUGACAGCCGGGACGGCUGCGUUUUUAUUCGUGGUGGGGGGGGGGAUGAUAUAGUGUAGUGAAAUACGCGGUGCGCACACUUGACUGAGGGCAACUGAGGGCAAGCAGGUGCGCGUGUGCAAACAUGGGGUUGCAUGAACAAAUCGCCACCUAAUUAAGGGGCUAAGCGGGUGCAAACCAGGUCCACCGGUUGUGCACGCUGACACGGAGGUGUUUACAGGGAGAUGGGAGAUAAGGGUUGAUUAAUGGGCUGACAGGCGCCAGCCUGGCUAGCCUUAAAGAGACACACGAGAGCUCUCGGAUAAUUGGCCGUAGGAUGUAAGGACAUGUGUGAACGGAGCAGAGUUAGUUGUUGCCGGGGACAAGAGUGAAGACAUCUCGCCGCUGCCGCUCAAGCCGUCAACGGACCUCAACCCUCACGAGUCGCUGGGCGAGUGAUGGUUGAUCCCCCCACCCGGGACAGAUGAGUGAGCAGGUCUGAGGGAGCGUAGGUGGCGGUGGAGUGUGAGAAGCCUCUGUGUGGAGAAGCUUCUGAUGCGCUGUGUGCAAGCCUCUGUGUGGAGAAAAAGCUGUGUGCUCAGGCGCUGUGUGCAAGCCUCUGUGUGGAGAAGAAGCUGUGUGCUGAGUCGCUGUGUGCGAAGCCUCUGUGUGUGAAGGUGCUGAAUGCGACUAAGCUCUGUGCGGAGUCGCUGGGAGCAGAGCUGCCGAGGGCAAGAUAGGUGAGGUGUAUCGGAGAGAGACGAGUGGAAGAAGUUAGGUCUAAGUGAUCGUGUAGAUAGUUCUAGGAGUGCCUACAACUGGUGCAAGAAUAGGUUAAUAAAGUGUACGCAGGUGACUUGUUA